This 253-nucleotide ribosomal RNA is filed under the name uncultured bacterium. Its description in RNAcentral is "partial 16S ribosomal RNA". It matches the Rfam family "Bacterial small subunit ribosomal RNA", at positions 524 to 776 of the family's 1533-position model. The record is from RNAcentral.
UACGAAGGGGGCUAGCGUUGCUCGGAAUCACUGGGCGUAAAGGGCGCGUAGGCGGUGCGGUAAGUCACCUGUGAAACCUCUAGGCUCAACCUAGAGCCUGCAGGCGAAACUGCCGUGCUUGAGGGUGGGAGAGGUGCGUGGAAUUCCCGGUGUAGCGGUGAAAUGCGUAGAUAUCGGGAGGAGCACCUGUGGCGAAAGCGGCGCACUGGACCACAUCUGACGCUGAGGCGCGAAAGCUAGGGGAGCAAACAGG